RNAcentral lists this ribosomal RNA (240 nucleotides) under uncultured bacterium. RNAcentral describes it as "partial 16S ribosomal RNA". It matches the Rfam family "Bacterial small subunit ribosomal RNA", at positions 15 to 244 of the family's 1533-position model. The record is from RNAcentral.
GAUCAUGGCUCAGGAUGAACGCUAGCGGCAGGCUUAACACAUGCAAGUCGAGGGGCAGCAUAAUGGAUAGCAAUAUCUAUGGUGGCGACCGGCGCACGGGUGCGUAACGCGUAUGCAACCUACCUUUAACAGGGGGAUAACACUGAGAAAUUGGUACUAAUACCCCAUAACAUCAUUAAAGGACAUCUUUUAUUGGUUGAAAAUUACCGAUGGUUAGAGAUGGGCGAUGCGUUGUAUUAG